UACAGGGGGUGCUAGCGUUGUUCGGAAUUACUGGGCGUAAAGGGCGCGUAGGCGGCUUCGUAAGUCAGAUGUGAAAUCCCCGGGCUUAACUCGGGGCGUGCAUUUGAAACUGCGAGGCUAGAGUGCAGUAGAGGAUGGUAGAAUUCCCAGUGUAGAGGUGAAAUUCGUAGAUAUUGGGAGGAAUACCGGUGGCGAAGGCGGCCAUCUGGGCUGCAACUGACGCUGAGGCGCAAAAGCGUGGGGAUCAAACAGG
RNAcentral lists this ribosomal RNA (253 nucleotides) under uncultured bacterium. Its description in RNAcentral is "partial 16S ribosomal RNA". It matches the Rfam family "Bacterial small subunit ribosomal RNA", at positions 524 to 776 of the family's 1533-position model. The record is from RNAcentral.